CAAUAGCGUAUAUUAAAGUUGUUGCAGUUAAAAAGCUCGUAGUUGGAUUUCUGGUGGGGGUGUUUGGCCGGCUCUAAUGAGUUUUGCGCCUAUACGUCUCCGCCAUCCUUGGGGAAAACUUGCUUGGCAUUAAGUUGUCGAGUUUGGGAUCCCCAUCGUUUACUUUGAAAAAAUUAGAGUGUUCAAAGCAGGCAUUUCGCCUGAAUACUGGUGCAUGGAAUAAUAGAAUAGGACCUCGGUUCUAUUUUGUUGGUUUUCGGAACUUGAGGUAAUGAUUAAGAGGGACGGACGGGGGCAUUCGUAUUACGGUGUUAGAGGUGAAAUUCUUGGAUCGCCGUAAGACGAACUACUGCGAAAGCAUUUGCCAAGAAUGUUUUCAUUAAUCAAGAACGAAAGUCAGAGGUUCGAAGACGAUCAGAUACCAU
Molecule: ribosomal RNA, 425 nt
Filed under: uncultured eukaryote
Lineage: Eukaryota
Description: bacterial SSU rRNA
Rfam family: Eukaryotic small subunit ribosomal RNA
Source: RNAcentral